AGUGGCGAACGGGUGAGUAACACGUGAGCAACCUGCCCUUGGCUCUGGGAUAGCCUCCGGAAACGGGGAUUAAUACCGGACAUGACCUCUCCUCGCAUGAGGGGGGGUGGAAAGUUCUUCGGCCAGGGAGGGGCUCGCGGCCUAUCAGCUUGUUGGGGGGGUAACGGCCCACCAAGGCGACGACGGGUAGCCGGCCUGAGAGGGCGACCGGCCACACUGGGACUGAGACACGGCCCAGACUCCUACGGGAGGCAGCAGUGGGGAAUAUUGCACAAUGGGCGGAAGCCUGAUGCAGCGACGCCGCGUGCGGGAUGAAGGCCUUCGGGUUGUAAACCGCUUUCAGCAGGGGCGAAUUUGACGGUACCUGCAGAAGAAGCGCCGGCUAACUACGUG
RNAcentral lists this ribosomal RNA (393 nucleotides) under uncultured bacterium. RNAcentral describes it as "bacterial SSU rRNA". It matches the Rfam family "Bacterial small subunit ribosomal RNA", at positions 94 to 507 of the family's 1533-position model. The record is from RNAcentral.